This 71-nucleotide transfer RNA is filed under the name Sus scrofa (pig). It matches the Rfam family "tRNA". From Rfam's summary of the family: Transfer RNA (tRNA) molecules are approximately 80 nucleotides in length. The record is from Rfam by way of RNAcentral. Lineage: Eukaryota; Metazoa; Chordata; Mammalia; Artiodactyla; Suidae.
UUCAGUCUGGCCUAGAGGCUAGGGUUCCUGGUUUUCACCCAGGCUGCCCAGGUUCAAUCCCUGGGCAGAAU